RNA transcript from Myotis brandtii (Brandt's bat), 1774 nucleotides. It is a transcript of the gene named transmembrane protein 41A, with no coding region annotated. The transcript is spliced from 7 exons. NCBI's taxonomy places the organism in Eukaryota, Metazoa, Chordata, Mammalia, Chiroptera, Vespertilionidae. The record is from RefSeq and is a predicted model, not a curated record.
UGUCGGUAUGACCUUGUUCUGAUGGAAAACAUUGAAACCGUCUUCCAACCUAUUCUUUGCCCAAAGUUGCAAUUGUAACUGUUGUCAGGACACAUGAGCACCAAGGAACAUCAAGAAAGCUAUGGCAGGCUUUCUGAGAGCUUCGCCUUCCUUACCGUCUCCUCCAGGCACAAAAAGUCCCUGUGGUUCCCCUCCGACUUGGCUGAGCUGCGGGAGCUCUCCGAGGUCCUUCGAGACUACCGGAGGGAGCACCAGGCCUACGUGUUCCUGCUCUUCUGCAGUGCCUACCUCUACAAACAGUGCUUUGCCAUCCCCGGCUCCAGCUUCCUGAACGUUUUAGCCGGUGCUUUGUUUGGGCCAUGGCUGGGGCUUCUGCUGUGCUGUGUGUUAACUUCAGUGGGUGCCACGUGCUGCUACCUGCUUUCCAGUAUGUUUGGCAAACAACUGGUGGUCUCCUACUUUCCUGAUAAAGUGGCCCUGCUGCAGAGCAAGGUGGAGGAGAACAGAAACAGCUUGUUUUUUUUCUUACUGUUUUUGAGACUUUUCCCCAUGACACCAAACUGGUUCUUGAACCUCUCGUCCCCGAUUCUGAACAUCCCCAUCGGGCAGUUCUUCUUCUCUGUGCUUAUUGGUUUGAUCCCCUACAACUUCAUCUGUGUGCAGACAGGCUCCAUCCUGUCAACCCUUACCUCUCUGGAUGCUCUUUUCUCCUGGGAAACUGUCUUGAAGCUGCUGGCCAUCGCUCUGGUGGCCUUAGUUCCUGGAACCCUCAUAAAAAAGUUCAGUCAGAAAGACCUGCAUUUGAACGAAACAAGCAAUGCCAAUCAUCUAAACGGCAGAAAGGCCAUGUGAUCUGGAUUGUUUUGGUUGUGUGUCCCUGGACUCUACUGCUUCUGUGUGUCAUGGGUGUGGUCCUCUACAGCCCCUCCUUGUUUUUUAAUUACCCUCAACGGGUGGCUUGGACAGUAUUCAUCCGGGUGCAGUGUCUCGUCAUGAAGGACACUGUGCUGUAGAAGUGGGAGUCAGGAUUGGCUCAGAAUCAGUCCAAAACGGUGUUCCAGCUCUCCACUCUCGGGUCUUUUACCAACAUUGUUUUUUAGAAGCCACACUCUCAUUUUCACCGUUCCCCUCUCUCUGCUCACUUGAUAGUAGGAUAACUAGUAACACUUACUGACUAUAAAGUGGGCAGCAGGGAAACCAGAGGGAUGAAAUAGAGCGCCUGUCUAGGCUAUGACAGAAUAACCAAGAAGAGACUAUAACAAAGCAGCGGUGCUCUCUUCCUUCUGUGAUGUGUCCAGCAAGAGCCACAGAGACCGGCUUUGCCAUCAGUUGCUUUUCCUGGCUGCAGGAAACCCAGUCGUGUGACGUCCUCCUUUCCCCAAGUUCUGACAUGCUGAGAUUUGUGAAGGUGGCUCUCAGGAGACAACCAGUACCUUUAGGAAAAGACGACCAGAAAACAGCGAAUUUUUCAGGAAGAGAGAGAAGUUUGCAGUAAUGACAUCAACUCAGCAUCAUCUGGCUACUCCUGAUUCUAUAGGACUAAAACCAUUCUCAGGAGGCCUGCCCACCAGCCAGUGAGGACAAGAAUUCUUCAGGUGUGGUCCAGCUCCAGGACAUCUGACCCACCCUGACAAAGGGGCUUGCUUGCAAGGUCUGACAAAGCACAAAACAUUGAACAGGUAGCCUGGGACUCCCAGGCCUUGUAAAGAGCUUCAUUAGUGCCAUUCAGGUAAUUGAACCAAGCGCAUCUUCCCUGACACUCGCUGCUAUUCAC